CGCACUAACCGGGGAGAUAGCGGUGCCCUGUACCUGCAAUCCGCUACAGCAGGGGUGAAUGUGUUUCUGAGGGUUUAUAAUGUGAUGUCAGCCGCGUUCAGACGAUGUUGAGGAGCCGGUCCCGCGCAACGGACGGCUGUGAACCAUGUCAGGCGGGGAACCGAGCAGCAUUAAGCAGUUUUGUUCCGUGUGCCGCGGGGGUUCCGGCUCUGAGUCUUU
RNAcentral lists this signal recognition particle RNA (219 nucleotides) under pig gut metagenome. RNAcentral's name for it is "Bacterial large signal recognition particle RNA". It matches the Rfam family "Bacterial large signal recognition particle RNA", at positions 2 to 217 of the family's 256-position model. Rfam says of the family: The signal recognition particle (SRP) is a universally conserved ribonucleoprotein involved in the co-translational targeting of proteins to membranes. Archaeal SRP consists of a 7S RNA and homologues of the eukaryotic SRP19 and SRP54 proteins. The record is from RNAcentral.